Molecule: ribosomal RNA, 1310 nt
Filed under: Serratia marcescens
Lineage: Bacteria; Pseudomonadati; Pseudomonadota; Gammaproteobacteria; Enterobacterales; Yersiniaceae
Also listed under: 2 other names
Description: partial 23S ribosomal RNA
Rfam family: Bacterial large subunit ribosomal RNA
Source: RNAcentral
AAUCGUACCCCAAACCGACACAGGUGGUCAGGUAGAGAAUACCAAGGCGCUUGAGAGAACUCGGGUGAAGGAACUAGGCAAAAUGGUGCCGUAACUUCGGGAGAAGGCACGCUGGCAUGUAGGUGAAGUCCCUUGCGGAUGGAGCUGAAGCCAGUCGAAGAUACCAGCUGGCUGCAACUGUUUAAUAAAAACACAGCACUGUGCAAACACGAAAGUGGACGUAUACGGUGUGACGCCUGCCCGGUGCUGGAAGGUUAAUUGAUGGGGUCAGCCGCAAGGCGAAGCUCUUGAUCGAAGCCCCAGUAAACGGCGGCCGUAACUAUAACGGUCCUAAGGUAGCGAAAUUCCUUGUCGGGUAAGUUCCGACCUGCACGAAUGGCGUAAUGAUGGCCAGGCUGUCUCCACCCGAGACUCAGUGAAAUUGAACUCGCUGUGAAGAUGCAGUGUACCCGCGGCAAGACGGAAAGACCCCGUGAACCUUUACUAUAGCUUGACACUGAACAUUGAGCCUUGAUGUGUAGGAUAGGUGGGAGGCUUUGAAGCGUGGACGCCAGUCUGCGUGGAGCCAUCCUUGAAAUACCACCCUUUAAUGUUUGAUGUUCUAACUCGGCCCCAUAAUCUGGGGUGAGGACAGUGUCUGGUGGGUAGUUUGACUGGGGCGGUCUCCUCCCAAAGAGUAACGGAGGAGCACGAAGGUUAGCUAAUCACGGUCGGACAUCGUGAGGUUAGUGCAAAGGCAUAAGCUAGCUUGACUGCGAGAGUGACGGCUCGAGCAGGUACGAAAGUAGGUCUUAGUGAUCCGGUGGUUCUGAAUGGAAGGGCCAUCGCUCAACGGAUAAAAGGUACUCCGGGGAUAACAGGCUGAUACCGCCCAAGAGUUCAUAUCGACGGCGGUGUUUGGCACCUCGAUGUCGGCUCAUCACAUCCUGGGGCUGAAGUAGGUCCCAAGGGUAUGGCUGUUCGCCAUUUAAAGUGGUACGCGAGCUGGGUUUAGAACGUCGUGAGACAGUUCGGUCCCUAUCUGCCGUGGGCGUUGGAAGAUUGAGAGGGGUUGCUCCUAGUACGAGAGGACCGGAGUGAACGCACCACUGGUGUUCGGGUUGUCAUGCCAAUGGCAUUGCCCGGUAGCUAAGUGCGGAAAAGAUAAGCGCUGAAAGCAUCUAAGCGCGAAACUUGCCUCAAGAUGAGUCUUCCCUGGGCCUUUAAGGCCCCUGAAGGAACGUUUAAGACUAAGACGUUGAUAGGCUGGGUGUGUAAGUGCAGCGAUGCAUUGAGCUAACCAGUACUAAUGAUCCGUGAGGCUUAACCUU